Apodemus sylvaticus (European woodmouse) is the source of this 114-nucleotide small nucleolar RNA. RefSeq annotates it as small nucleolar RNA SNORA24. The transcript has a single exon. The record is from RefSeq and is a predicted model, not a curated record. NCBI's taxonomy places the organism in Eukaryota, Metazoa, Chordata, Mammalia, Rodentia, Muridae.
AAUAUUGUAUUUUUGGAAUCUGCUGGCUAUGGCAGUCUCUCGUCCUACCUAUUGAACAGCAUGUUCUUAUUUAAUUUGACUGAUAUCAGAUUUUGUCUUGCAUAGGUAACUUUC